CAGUUAAGUGACUAACGUAUAUUAGGAU
Molecule: small RNA, 28 nt
Filed under: Bombyx mori (domestic silkworm)
Lineage: Eukaryota; Metazoa; Arthropoda; Insecta; Lepidoptera; Bombycidae
Description: ovarian small RNA-4741
Source: RNAcentral